UCCCCCAACCACUCUGUCUCGGAACAGGAUAACAAAUCACCCUCAUCAGUUUUGUCCCCAUUCGGGUCUUCUGCCUCUGAGCAACCAAAUAGAUGUUCUUCUCCAACUUCUUGUACUACUAAUAUACAGUCACUCAAUAAUACAUCCCCUGUUGAAAAGGAAAAUGACUAUGUGACAUCUAUAGAGAAAGAGAGUGAAUCUUUAUCAUCUAUUAAAGUAUUUGGACAAUCAUCCGAGGAGGACAUUUUAUCUUUGGUAAAAUCUCUGCCCUUUUUCGUUUAUGGAACAAUUAUUACUGACCUUUGUCUUAGAAUUUGAACUCUGAUUUUCUUUCUUUCUUCAUGUAAUUACCCAGAAAUCCAACACAGACUUUGAGGAACCUGUGUGUACCAAAGGAAACGAAGCAGCAGUAGUUGUGCCUUUCACCAGUAUUAAGCUUUUUGGAAAAACAGUUGAGGUGAAAGAUUCCAGCAAACCAUCCACGGAUGCAGAAAACUUUCAAAUGCAAACAUCAAAGAAUGGUGUAGCCGGCGAGUGCUUGGACUUGCAUUUGUCACAUGGGACAGUCAUCGAUAAUUGGAGUACGGUACCUUCUAAAUCUAAUUUAUCCCCUUGUAUGGAAAUCCACACAGAUAAAAAUGAUCAUGUAGAAUACACCAGUGAUGCUCCUCUGCCAUGGUUAGCUUUUUACCAAGGUCUACCCUUUUAUUACAUCACUUCAUUUAAUCAAACCCAUACAGACCCCAGAGUCAAAGAGACACCGAAAGAGAAGGAAACCCUGAAUGAAAGAUCUUGCACCGGUUCAAAUACGGGCUCAGUUAGUCAAAUAGAAAAUAGGGAAAGGAAUUCGGAUUCUGUCGAUUCUCAAUGCCAAAACCCUUGUCCUCGGGGAAAAAUGACAUCCCAAA
This 908-nucleotide long non-coding RNA is filed under the name Gossypium barbadense (sea-island cotton). RNAcentral's name for it is "long non-coding RNA (GBAR_LNC022101)". Lineage: Eukaryota; Viridiplantae; Streptophyta; Magnoliopsida; Malvales; Malvaceae. The record is from RNAcentral.